GAUGAAGAACGCAGCGAAAUGCGAUAAGUAGUGUGAAUUGCAGAAUUCAGUGAAUCAUCUAAUCUUUGAACGCACAUUGCGCCCCUUGGUAUUCCAUGGGGCAUGCCUGUUCGAGCGUCAUUUGUACCUUCAAGCUCUGCUUGGUGUUGGGUGUUUGUCUCGCCUCUGCGUGUAGACUCGCCUCAAAACAAUUGGCAGCCGGCGUAUUGAUUUCGGAGCGCAGUACAUCUCGCGCUUUGCACUCAUAACGACGACGUCCAAAAGUACAUUUUUACACUCUUGACCUCGGAUCAGGUAGGGAUACCCGCUGAACUUAAGCAUAUCAUAAGCGGAGGA
Molecule: unclassified non-coding RNA, 336 nt
Filed under: soil metagenome
Description: partial contains 5.8S ribosomal RNA, internal transcribed spacer 2, and large subunit ribosomal RNA
Rfam family: 5.8S ribosomal RNA (bases 1-120)
Source: RNAcentral